This 460-nucleotide ribosomal RNA is filed under the name uncultured bacterium. RNAcentral describes it as "partial 16S ribosomal RNA". It matches the Rfam family "Bacterial small subunit ribosomal RNA", at positions 338 to 795 of the family's 1533-position model. The record is from RNAcentral.
CCUACGGGUGGCUGCAGUGAGGAAUAUUGGUCAAUGGUCGGGAGACUGAACCAGCCAAGCCGCGUGAGGGAGGAAGGUACAGAGUAUCGUAAACCUCUUUUGUCAGGGAACAAAGACUGGGACGCGUCCCCGGAUGAGUGUACCUGAUGAAAAAGCAUCGGCUAACUCCGUGCCAGCAGCCGCGGUAAUACGGAGGAUGCGAGCGUUAUCCGGAUUUAUUGGGUUUAAAGGGUGCGUAGGCGGGAUUUUAAGUCAGCGGUGCAAGGCCGGGGCUCAACCCCGGACCUGCCGUGGAAACUGGCAGUCUCGAGUUGGAGAGAGGUAUGCGGAAUGCGCGGUGUAGCGGUGAAAUGCAUAGAUAUCGCGCAGAACUCCGAUUGCGAAGGCAGCAUGCCGGGUCCACACUGACGCUGAGGCACGAAAGCGUGGGUAUCGAACAGGAUUAGAUACCCGAGUAGUC